GUGGGGAAUUUUGGACAAUGGGCGAAAGCCUGAUCCAGCAAUGCCGCGUGUGUGAAGAAGGCCUUCGGGUUGUAAAGCACUUUUGGCAGGGAAGAAACAGUGCGUGCUAAUACCAUGCGCGAAUGACGGUACCUGCAGAAUAAGCACCGGCUAACUACGUGCCAGCAGCCGCGGUAAUACGUAGGGUGCAAGCGUUAAUCGGAAUUACUGGGCGUAAAGCGUGCGCAGGCGGCUUUGUAAGACGGAUGUGAAAGCCCCGGGCUCAACCUGGGAAGUGCAUUCGUGACUGCAAGGCUGGAGUGUGUCAGAGGGAGGUGGAAUUCCGCGUGUAGCAGUGAAAUGCGUAGAGAUGCGGAGGAACACCGAUGGCGAAGGCAGCCUCCUGGGAUAACACUGACGCUCAGGCACGAAAGCGUGGGGAGCAAACAGGAUUAGAAACCCCUGUAGUCC
This 450-nucleotide ribosomal RNA is filed under the name uncultured bacterium. RNAcentral's name for it is "partial 16S ribosomal RNA". It matches the Rfam family "Bacterial small subunit ribosomal RNA", at positions 354 to 796 of the family's 1533-position model. The record is from RNAcentral.